Molecule: long non-coding RNA, 795 nt
Organism: Acanthopagrus latus (yellowfin seabream)
Lineage: Eukaryota; Metazoa; Chordata; Actinopteri; Spariformes; Sparidae
Exons: 2
Source: RefSeq, a predicted model, not a curated record
CUCAGAGCCUGCUGGUGGUUCUGCUGGUGCUGCUGGUUCUGGUGGUGCUGCUGGACCAUACUGCAGUCGAUGAGGCAGACCAGCAGGGGGCGCCACAGAGCCUGAGAUGCCGCAGUACCUGUUCACCUCCCUGACAGGACCAGUCAUCCACCUCCAGACCAUCCUCCUCUGGGUCAGUGAAAACGACGGGGCCCCUCCCUGCCCAGACUGUGGAGGAUCUGUGAAGGCCCCUAACCUGUGCAAGGGCCUCGUUGUUUGUGAGGAGAUGGAACCCCUACGAACAGAUCUUAAAAACAUACUGGAUGCACUGAAAGCUGAAUUUUAGUCUGUACUGGUUUAAAAUGAGGGCUGACCAGUAUCUGUCCUGGUCGCCCACAGCUGCCUGCAGGAUGUAUUUCAGCCUUCUCACCUGGUUAAUCACGUUUCUACAGCCAUCUGAAUCUCAGGUUCCACACCGCAGGCUUCUGGUGUUGUGAAGGGGUUCCUGUCCUGGAUGAAGCAGUUGUAUAGGGGUGCUUGUUGUGCAGUGAUGGCGGCAGGAGGGUUGAGCUGCCCUGAGCCAGUUAGGAGAGAUCAGGCAGGGAUGCCUUGCUUCAGGACAGCUUCACACUGUUGCCAUUGAGCUUCUUCUCUGCAGACUGAGGAGCAGGCUGAGGAGUCUCACUCUGCCAGAGCUCAGAGACCUCCUGGUGUCCUUUCAGCAUUUGUGGAUGAUGUUACUGUGUUUGUCCAGGAUGAGUGAGAUGCGCAGGAAUUAAAAGAAAGCCUGGUUUUAUAUGAAAAAAGCUUCUUCAG